Molecule: long non-coding RNA, 396 nt
Filed under: Malus domestica (apple)
Lineage: Eukaryota; Viridiplantae; Streptophyta; Magnoliopsida; Rosales; Rosaceae
Description: long non-coding RNA (MDOM_LNC016820)
Source: RNAcentral
UGAAGGUUAAUUUAAGCGGACCUAAUUAACUUGGGGCGUUGAGAAUUCAUGGUUUAUUGAAAAGCAAUUGGGAAUCGUUUUGUAUGCAAGUAUAACAUGUGUGGAGAUGAACCCCUUAGCUAGCCUUCCAUCCAUUCAUUUAAAUCAAAUUCGUUUUUAAAAUCUGUCUAGUUUACAAAGUUUGUUUUGUUUUCAAAUUCGUCCAAAAUCAAUCCCCCUUUUCCCCCUUUUUGAGUCAUAUUAGUUAGAAGUCAAGUUAGUUUUGUUUUUAAGUGUCUUAGGUCAAGUUAAAACCAAUUUUCGUCCAAGUUUGUGUCUAGUGUUCAAAACUGCCCAGAUUGUGUUUUUAAGGAAGUUUUGAGUGUUUUGGUGCUGUUUUGAGUCUUUUGGUUUGUU